RNAcentral lists this ribosomal RNA (437 nucleotides) under uncultured bacterium. RNAcentral's name for it is "partial 16S ribosomal RNA". It matches the Rfam family "Bacterial small subunit ribosomal RNA", at positions 29 to 507 of the family's 1533-position model. The record is from RNAcentral.
AGCGGACGCUGGCGGCAGGCUUAACACAUGCAAGUCGAGCGGGCAUCCUUGUGGUGUCAGCGGCAGACGGGUGAGUAACGCGUGGGAACGUGCCCUUCGGUUCGGAAUAACUCAGGGAAACUUGAGCUAAUACCGGAUACGUGCGAGAGCAGAAAGGUUUAUCUGCCGAAGGAUCGGCCCGCGUCUGAUUAGCUAGUUGGUGAGGUUAUGGCUCACCAAGGCGACGAUCAGUAGCUGGUCUGAGAGGAUGAUCAGCCACACUGGGACUGAGACUCGGCCCAGACUCCUACGGGAGGCAGCAGUGGGGAAUAUUGGACAAUGGGGGCAACCCUGAUCCAGCCAUGCCGCGUGAGUGAUGACGGCCUUAGGGUUGUAAAGCUCUUUUCUCCGGGACGAUAAUGACGGUACCGGAGGAAUAAGCCCCGGCUAACUUCGUG